UACGUAGGGUGCGAGCGUUAAUCGGAAUUACUGGGCGUAAAGCGUGCGCAGGCGGUUUUGUAAGCCAGAUGUGAAAUCCCCGGGCUUAACCUGGGAAUGGCAUUCGGGACUGCAAGGCUGGAGUGCGGCAGAGGAGACUGGAAUUCCUGGUGUAGCAGUGAAAUGCGUAGAUAUCAGGAGGAAUACCGAUGGCGAAGGCAGGUCUCUGGGCUGACACUGACGCUCAUGCACGAAAGCGUGGGGAGCAAACAGG
This 253-nucleotide ribosomal RNA is filed under the name uncultured bacterium. RNAcentral's name for it is "partial 16S ribosomal RNA". It matches the Rfam family "Bacterial small subunit ribosomal RNA", at positions 524 to 776 of the family's 1533-position model. The record is from RNAcentral.